Molecule: non-coding RNA, 446 nt
Organism: Paramuricea clavata
Lineage: Eukaryota; Metazoa; Cnidaria; Anthozoa; Malacalcyonacea; Plexauridae
Source: the annotation of a GenBank genome assembly
CGAGGAUAUACCGCGGUAUUUGCAAUAUCGAGUCUUUUUAUCCGUGCUGGUGGCUUUCAUUAAGUGGAAUAGUGCAGCACAUGCUGGUGAACUGACUGAAUUCUAAAAACGAAAGACGAAACUGUACGCGGCUGUUGAUUUUAUUUUUGUGGAAGUAGCCAAUUUUUGCGUGAAGGUAGGCAGGGUCUUGGCACCACCAAGGAACCCAAAUUGGGGGGCGAAAAUGAGUCCUGAAAUCAUUAAAUCCUUGUGGUGCAAUAGCUUUUGAAUUUGGCUAAAUAGCUAUUUUAGCCUUAUAUUUAGUCUAUUUUGGGGGGUAGAUAACUAUUUAUUUAAUAGAGGUUUAGAUGAUUAAGUCUGUCAAGAUAUGGACUGGACUGGAAUCCCGGCGAACUUCAAAGCUACAAAAUAGAAGGCCUCUUUUUGAUGUUAACUGUAUCUCGCCG